Molecule: ribosomal RNA, 301 nt
Filed under: uncultured bacterium
Lineage: Bacteria
Description: partial 16S ribosomal RNA
Rfam family: Bacterial small subunit ribosomal RNA
Source: RNAcentral
CAGUCGCCGCGGGAAUACGAAGGGUGCAAGCGCUAAUCGGAAUUACUGGGCGUAAAGCGUGCGUAGGCGGUGAGUUAAGUCUGCUGUGAAAUCCCCGGGCUCAACCUGGGAAUGGCAGUGGAUACUGGCUCGCUAGAGUGUGUCAGAGGAUGGUGGAAUUCCCGGUGUAGCGGUGAAAUGCGUAGAGAUCGGGAGGAACAUCAGUGGCGAAGGCGGCCAUCUGGGACAACACUGACGCUGAGGCACGAAAGCGUGGGGAACAAACAGGAUUAGAUACCCUGUAGUCCCUGUCUCUUAUACA